This 472-nucleotide ribosomal RNA is filed under the name uncultured bacterium. RNAcentral's name for it is "partial 16S ribosomal RNA". It matches the Rfam family "Bacterial small subunit ribosomal RNA", at positions 28 to 507 of the family's 1533-position model. The record is from RNAcentral.
GACGAACGCUGGCGGCGUGCUUAACACAUGCAAGUCGAACGCUGAAGCUUGGUGCUUGCACUGGGUGGAUGAGUGGCGAACGGGUGAGUAAUACGUGAGUAACCUGCCCUUGACUCUGGGAUAAGCCUGGGAAACUGGGUCUAAUACAGGAUAUGACAUGCCACUGCAUGGUGGUGUGUGGAAAGGUUUUUACUGGUUUUGGAUGGGCUCACGGCCUAUCAGCUUGUUGGGGGGGUAAUGGCCUACCAAGGCGAAGACGGGUAGCCGGCCUGAGAGGGUGACCGGCCAAACUGGGACUGGGACACGGCCCAGACUCCUACGGGAGGCAGCAGUGGGGAAUAUUGCACAAUGGGCGGAAGCCUGAUGAAGCGACGCCGCGUGAGGGAUGACGGCCUUCGGGUUGUAAACCUCUUUCAGCACGGAAGAAGCGAGAGUGACGGUACGUGCAGAAGAAGCGCCGGCUAACUACGUG